RNAcentral lists this long non-coding RNA (211 nucleotides) under Elaeis guineensis (African oil palm). Its description in RNAcentral is "long non-coding RNA (EGUI_LNC047435)". The record is from RNAcentral. Lineage: Eukaryota; Viridiplantae; Streptophyta; Magnoliopsida; Arecales; Arecaceae.
AGGUUGAUGAAGCUCUUUCUAAAGUUUGGUGGGCUCACGACACUCGUAGCUCACCUUCUCACUUCUCGAACCCUAGGUAGAAACCCUAGGGUACUCUCAGAAAACCCUGCGCCCACUUUCUUUCUUUUCCUUUCUCUCGAAAGUUUUUGAACUUUGAUCUCACGCACAAGGCCUUCUCACGCCACUCUUUCUUUCUCUAAUCAGAUCUUUU